RNAcentral lists this ribosomal RNA (442 nucleotides) under uncultured bacterium. RNAcentral's name for it is "partial 16S ribosomal RNA". It matches the Rfam family "Bacterial small subunit ribosomal RNA", at positions 338 to 795 of the family's 1533-position model. The record is from RNAcentral.
CCUACGGGUGGCAGCAGUGGGGGAUAUUGCACAAUGGGGGAAACCCUGAUGCAGCGACGCCGCGUGGGCGAAGAAGUAUUUCGGUAUGUAAAGCCCUAUCAGCAGGGAAGAAGAAAUGACGGUACCUGAGUAAGAAGCACCGGCUAAAUACGUGCCAGCAGCCGCGGUAAUACGUAUGGUGCAAGCGUUAUCCGGAUUUACUGGGUGUAAAGGGAGCGCAGGCGGCACGGCAAGCCUGAUGUGAAAGCCCUCGGCCCAACCGCGGGACUGCAGUGGGAACUACCGGGCUGGAGUGCCGGAGAGGUAGGCGGAAUUCCUAGUGUAGCGGUGAAAUGCGUAGAUAUUAGGAGGAACACCAGUGGCGAAGGCAGCUCACUGGACUGCAACUGACACUGAGGCUCGAAAGUGUGGGUAUCAAACAGGAUUAGAUACCCGGGUAGUC